UGGCUUGGGAGCUCUGUAGCUAGAAGAUAUAGUGGCGGGGUGCAGCACGUGACAUUGCAGAAGAGAAAUUUGCACUUAGGGUUGUCAUAUGGUGUGUGGAUAUGGUGUCCAUAAACCCUGAGGGUAAGAAUGAUAAAAAACCCUGUUUUGUUGUAUUGCAGGGGAGAAUUCUCCCAUUAACUUUGGUUUGAUUGCAUAUAAACAUGGCACGCAGGCGGCAGAGUGCUUGUUUCCAGAAAUCCCUGGCUGAGCAUUGCUGUAUCUGCUGCCAAGUGAGGUAGGUUACAUGGCUGGGAGCAGAGUAGCCUCAGCCAUGGAUGGCAGCCUGCAAAGACCACUGUCUGGUGCCAGGGUUACGGGUAUGUAAAGGGAGGCAAGUGUGCCCAUUACACUCUUCCUCACCAGCCGAGUGUGAUCUGCUAUUCUCCCUCCCUCUAUCUCUGUCCUUCCUCCAUUUGGAUCAAGCUCCAGCUCCAAACGCCUUUCAGCAGCUUUCUCUUUAUCACACUGAUACACUCUCGUACCAAGAAUAUAAACACACUGACUCGCUCACACACAAAUUCUCAGCCUUCAAUCCAUCCGAUGCUGUACAGACAAAUCAACAGUUGGAGCCAGAGGCUUGCUGCCCAUCUGGUCGGCCAUUUCCAGCCGGUCCCAGCGUGCAAAUAAAAAAAAAAAAAAGAGAGAGAAAACCAUCUAAUCCCCAUCCUGACUUAGAAGUAGAGGGUCUGAUAGUUUCCCCCAGUCAAAGUCAAGGAUGGCAAAUACAUCUGUGUCCCCAAACUCUCUAAUCUCUCUCCCUUUCAUUCUGCUUUGCUUUUUCUCACUCUUUGUCUCACACUCACCCACACACCUCGCCUUUUCUCUCUCUCUCUCUCUCUCUCUCUCUCUCAGUCAGAAAGUAUAUAUCCUGUGGAGGUUUCAUUGUACUAAAUCCAAGGGGGGGAAGGCCCACUUUGCAGACACAGCAGCAGCUGAUGUACUGUACUCCGCAGUGAUUAGUGGGAGACUGGCUCGCUGCAACUGUCAAGGCGAGGGCCGAAAGACCUGGCAAUUGUGUCAAACAUUGGAGCAGAUUGCAAAGUGCACUUUAAAAGCACUUCUUCAUUUAUGCUGGAGAUGAUUUGGCUCAAAUCCAAAGUUGUUAGUGAUGCGGCACUUUUUUUUUCUUUUUUUUUUUUUUGCUGGCCUAGUUUGCACUCAUGGAGGAAUGAAUCAUAAACAAAGCCUUGUUGUGAAGAUGAUAAGGCUUUUAUUGCAGAAUGUAAUAUUGUGCUAUCCAGAUUCUCUUUGCCUUCUGGCAGUGGCAAAAUAUGUGGCUAAAUAAAACUCACUUUGGCUUACACACUCAUAAUUCUGUUAAGGGGAAAAAAAUAAACAUGAAUGCGUUACCAAGAGCAGCAACAAUGUCAGCAAUUUUAGCAAUAAGCUCUACUGCAUAAGAGAGUUACUUAUAUGGCUACAGAACACCUUACCUGUCUUGUGAUUUUAUUCAAGGAAGGUUGGCUGGAGAGGCACACGUUUCUUUUAUUCACACGUUUCUUUUAUGUAGCUACAAAACACAGCGCUUCACACCUGGGAGCAUCAUUCUAUAGCCAUUGUUUUCAGUAGCUGGCCAAUGAGCAGCUCCAGUGGAGCAGUGGGAGGUUAAUUGGAUAGCUCAAGGGCAUUUUGAUCUUUGUUGUCAUGGGAGCGCACAUAGGUAGUUGUUCUCCUUCCCUAAUCAAAUUUUAAAGCAGGUUUGAAAAGCCGACCUUCCAACAAAGGCCUUCUUCCUUUCUGACCCAUAUGCUGUAAAUGCUGCACAUACAGCAGAUUUGUAUGCCAGAGCAAGAAAUGAGCACCUGUUUGAAUUAGACACAAAUUUAAAUGUCAUCACCUUCUUCGAUUUGAGCAGCGAAGUUGUUGCUUUGGCU
Molecule: long non-coding RNA, 1916 nt
Organism: Astatotilapia calliptera (eastern happy)
Lineage: Eukaryota; Metazoa; Chordata; Actinopteri; Cichliformes; Cichlidae
Source: Ensembl